RNAcentral lists this transfer RNA (68 nucleotides) under Coomaniella dentata. Its description in RNAcentral is "tRNA-Val". The record is from RNAcentral. Lineage: Eukaryota; Metazoa; Arthropoda; Insecta; Coleoptera; Buprestidae.
CAAAUUUGAGCUUGAAAGAAAGCAUUUUAUUUACAUUAAAAAGUUAUCGUGCAAUUCGAUAAAUUUGA